AGUGUCGAUCAUCGAUUCGUGAAAUCAUAUUCGCGCGGCCGCGGAAUCGCGCACGUUUCUCGUUCGGAAGGACGCGGACGGGCGAAGGGCCGUGGCGAUGGGCGCGCUUGCGGUCGAAAAAGUCGUCCUCCGCUAAAAUUCAAACAAGCGAUAAGCUUUCGCGGGAGAUGGGCUAUUUUAUUGAUCGGAGAAAGAGAAAAGCUAGAGGGUGAGAGCGGGACCGGAUAGGAGGACGACAGAGAAGGUGCGGGGCAGCGGCGGGGAAAGGGCGAGGAAGAUGAAGGGCGGUGAUGGGGCGAGGGGAGAGCAGCGUGACGGUAAGCGGAGUGCAUGCUGCGUCUUGUUUAGCGGCGUCGGAAAAGCCGGUGAGCGACAAGCACGGACUGCGGCACGCGACGCCGAGUACGAGAGGUGGGUUUGGGGAGAAGAAAGAGAGGGGGAGGGAGAGAGGGAUGAAGGGUGGUCAUCAUCGAUACCGGAUGCCUCGGUGCCGGAAGUAUUGAUGCCUCUAUAUUACGUUAUUGCGUCCAUGAUGUAACGAGAGCGACACAGCCGCCGGGCGUUACUGACGUCGUGGAUUAGGAAUUUGUCGAAGGUGAAGGGAAACAGAUUUUUGAUCCGCUCGCACAUCGAUCUACUAAUGUCGCCACGCCAUUGUGCCACGUGUUUGCACGUCUUUUUACAUUG
Molecule: long non-coding RNA, 687 nt
Organism: Solenopsis invicta (red fire ant)
Lineage: Eukaryota; Metazoa; Arthropoda; Insecta; Hymenoptera; Formicidae
Exons: 2
Source: RefSeq, a predicted model, not a curated record